This 68-nucleotide transfer RNA is filed under the name Chloriona tateyamana. Its description in RNAcentral is "tRNA-Tyr". Lineage: Eukaryota; Metazoa; Arthropoda; Insecta; Hemiptera; Delphacidae. The record is from RNAcentral.
AAUAGGGUGUCUGAUUUAAGUAGUAAAUUGUAAAUUUAUUUAAGGGCCUUAAUGGUUUCCUCCUAUUA